Non-coding RNA from Phrynosoma platyrhinos (Desert horned lizard), 72 nucleotides. The record is from the annotation of a GenBank genome assembly. NCBI's taxonomy places the organism in Eukaryota, Metazoa, Chordata, Lepidosauria, Squamata, Phrynosomatidae.
GCCAGUGCGGCGUAGUGGUUUUAGUGUUGGAUUAUGACUCUGGAGACCAGGGUUCAAUUCUCUGCUUCACCA